CCUUCGAUAGCUCAGCUGGUAGAGCGGAGGACUGUAGUUGGUAUAUGUUAGCAAUCCUUAGGUUGCUGGUUCAAUUCCGGCUCGAAGGA
Molecule: transfer RNA, 89 nt
Filed under: Pelobates cultripes (western spadefoot toad)
Lineage: Eukaryota; Metazoa; Chordata; Amphibia; Anura; Pelobatidae
Description: tRNA.Tyr
Rfam family: tRNA
About the family: Transfer RNA (tRNA) molecules are approximately 80 nucleotides in length. Their secondary structure includes four short double-helical elements and three loops (D, anti-codon, and T loops).
Source: RNAcentral